Molecule: long non-coding RNA, 597 nt
Filed under: Trifolium pratense (red clover)
Lineage: Eukaryota; Viridiplantae; Streptophyta; Magnoliopsida; Fabales; Fabaceae
Description: long non-coding RNA (TPRA_LNC012309)
Source: RNAcentral
UCGUUUAUAACAAAAUUUAUUAUUCCAAACAAAUUUGGUCAGCUACUCUUUCUUUUCUAGUAUAUUAUUGAGUAUAUCAACUAUACUAACAUAGUAAAAUAAAUUGUAUUUUUAUUAAUAAAAUGGCUCUAAUGGCCUUUUUAUGAUUAUUCGAGAUGAAAUUUUAACUCCAUCCUUUGAGAUUACAAUAUUUAAAGUAUUUUACAAUAGUGUUUACUUUUAAUAGUUACGACAUAUACAUUUAUUUGAAAUACAUUUUGGAAAAUAAGGAGUUGCGCAAAAAUAUGUGGAACAAUCAGAAUCAUCCUCGCAAUUUAGCCUCUCAUCUGCUGUAAUAUAAAAAAAAAUAAAAGAAACAAAUAUUAGCAAAAAUGGUGAAUUAUUUUAUAUUAGAUAACAAGUUCAAAAAGAUACAUAAGUUAUUUACCAGUAACGCCUGUUACAACAGCAAAUAAGAAAAUAAAGAGGUUACUGGAUAAACAAACGUAAUAAUUUUAGCCAUAAUUUGUCUCCUAAUUUUGCAAGAAAUAGAAAUGUAUUAAUCACUUUAUAUUGUAAAAGUAAUAUAUGUCUUGUUUAUUUGUUUCAAUUUUUCAG